RNAcentral lists this ribosomal RNA (262 nucleotides) under uncultured archaeon. Its description in RNAcentral is "partial 16S ribosomal RNA". It matches the Rfam family "Archaeal small subunit ribosomal RNA", at positions 748 to 1009 of the family's 1478-position model. The record is from RNAcentral.
UAGCCGUAAACGAUACUCGCUAGGUGUCGGCCACGGUGCGACCGUUGUCGGUGCCGUAGGGAAGCCGUGAAGCGAGCCACCUGGGAAGUACGGCCGCAAGGCUGAAACUUAAAGGAAUUGGCGGGGAGCACCACAACGGGUGGAGCUUGCGGUUUAAUUUGGAUUCAACGCCGGAAAUCUUACCGGGACCGGACAGCAACAUGAAGGCCAGGCUGAAGACUUUGCCGGAUUAGCUGAGAGGUGGUGCAUGGCGUAGACGUCU